Molecule: ribosomal RNA, 498 nt
Filed under: uncultured bacterium
Lineage: Bacteria
Description: partial 16S ribosomal RNA
Rfam family: Bacterial small subunit ribosomal RNA
Source: RNAcentral
AUUGAACGCUGGCGGCAUGCCUUACACAUGCAAGUCGAACGGUAACGCGGGGCAACCUGGCGACGAGUGGCGAACGGGUGAGUAAAGCAUCGGAACGUGCCCAGUAGUGGGGGAUAGCCCGGCGAAAGCCGGAUUAAUACCGCAUACGACCUAUGGGUGAAAGGGGGGGAUCGCAAGACCUCUCGCUAUUGGAGCGGCCGAUGUCAGAUUAGGUAGUUGGUGGGGUAAAGGCCUACCAAGCCGACGAUCUGUAGCUGGUCUGAGAGGACGUCCAGCCACACUGGGACGGAGACACGGCCCAGACUCCUACGGGAGGCAGCAGUGGGGAAUUUUGGACAAUGGGCGCAAGCCUGAUCCAGCCAUGCCGCGUGCGGGAAGAAGGCCUUCGGGUUGUAAACCGCUUUUGUCAGGGAAGAAAUCCUUUGGGUUAAUACCUCGGGGGGAUGACGGUACCUGAAGAAUAAGCACCGGCUAACUACGUGCCAGCCGCCGCCGUAA